GUGACACUUCUUGGGAAUCUCGACAAAUAUCGUACGGGGUGUAAGUAAGGUGUGAAAUGAUGAAUCCAUACCGCCCCAGUCUGAAUUCUGUGACUGAUUGGUUAUGUAUCUGACACAUUCAUACGUAGUAGUUUUUUAUUUUAAUGGGUAGUAGUAGAAACAAUUAUAAUAUUUGUAGUGCUCAAUCAAUUUCUGUAUUUGGAUAAAUAAAUUCACGCAAAUAUAUAUAUUUCAGUUCCAUACAUCAAGGACACAUCACUCGUCAGAGCCUAAUACCAUAUAGGGGAAUUUAAAUUGGAUAUGGAAAGGAAGAAGAUCCUUUGGAGAUUACGAAUUCAGGAAAGGAGAAACUUCGAUAUUCUCUCUGUGUCUGAUUCUAGGCUUAGCCUUCACUCCGCGAGAUAUCUAAAGAUGAAAUAGAGGAAAAGAAUUUGAAGAUGAUCAGUUUUAUAAAUUGAGGCUGAAAUACAUCUUAUCACAGGCAGUUUCGAAGAGUGCGUUCCCAUGUCAAGCAAGGAGAAAAUAUUGGAACAUCUUAUCUUAGGCAGGUGUAUACAAUAUUCUUACGAGAUACCUCUGCCUCGACUUGAAUGGUGAUGAAAUCGGGCAAAUCUUUACAGCUUCAAAAAAGUUCAUAAGAAGACUUUAUGACUUGAAACCCCUAAUCAGAAUGGAAAAAAGGACAUGAAAUAAAUUGGUUAUGAAGUAAAGGGAUUAAUAAAUCCGAGAGGAAAAGAAGAAACGGAAGAGUAAGUGAGUAUGUUUGUGAAAUAUUUUUUGUAAUAUAUUUGAGAAUGGAAAUUAUUUAAUUUUUAUUUAGCAGGUAUGAUAA
Molecule: long non-coding RNA, 832 nt
Organism: Anoplophora glabripennis (Asian longhorned beetle)
Lineage: Eukaryota; Metazoa; Arthropoda; Insecta; Coleoptera; Cerambycidae
Exons: 9
Source: RefSeq, a predicted model, not a curated record